RNAcentral lists this transfer RNA (87 nucleotides) under Streptomyces cirratus. RNAcentral describes it as "tRNA-Gly". Lineage: Bacteria; Bacillati; Actinomycetota; Actinomycetes; Kitasatosporales; Streptomycetaceae. The record is from RNAcentral.
CGCCGCGCAGGCCGGGGAGUUCGACGUCCCCGGCGUCGCGGUGGGCGUCCUGAUCGACGGUCAGGAGUUCCACGCCUCACACGGCGU